CACAAAGUGAGCAUGCACCCCUUGGCGACCAGCAUGGAGGAGAGACGACUGCCCCGGCGUUAUCGAAGUGAGACUGUACAGCUUGUUGUGCCCACCAUAGAGGAAAGACCAAUGCCCCUACAUGAAUUCCAACGUCAAGUGCUCCGUAUGCUAAACAUCAUUAGACUCAACCAGCAGCAACAAGAUGACGUUCUUCAUAGUCUUGUGCCUUGAAAGAUUGCUGCAGUAGUGGGA
This is a long non-coding RNA of Ornithodoros turicata, 234 nucleotides long. RefSeq lists it as uncharacterized. The record is from RefSeq and is a predicted model, not a curated record. Lineage: Eukaryota; Metazoa; Arthropoda; Arachnida; Ixodida; Argasidae. The transcript is spliced from 3 exons.